GCACGGAUGGCCGAGUGGUCUAAGGCGCCAGACUCAAGCAUUCUGGUACUCGUAUGGGUGCGUGGGUUCGAAUCCCACUUCGUGCA
RNAcentral lists this transfer RNA (86 nucleotides) under Caenorhabditis remanei. RNAcentral describes it as "tRNA-Leu". It matches the Rfam family "tRNA". From Rfam's summary of the family: Transfer RNA (tRNA) molecules are approximately 80 nucleotides in length. Their secondary structure includes four short double-helical elements and three loops (D, anti-codon, and T loops). The record is from RNAcentral. Lineage: Eukaryota; Metazoa; Nematoda; Chromadorea; Rhabditida; Rhabditidae.